Molecule: ribosomal RNA, 468 nt
Filed under: uncultured bacterium
Lineage: Bacteria
Description: partial 16S ribosomal RNA
Rfam family: Bacterial small subunit ribosomal RNA
Source: RNAcentral
GACGAACGCUGGCGGCGUGCUUAACACAUGCAAGUCGAACGGAAAGGCCCUGCUUUGGUUGGGCGCUCGAGUGGCGUACGGGUGAGUAACACGUGAGUAGCCUGCCCUUGACGUUGGGAUAACCUCAGGAAACUGGGGCUAAUAUCGGAUAGGUGCUCCUGCUACUUGGUGGGGGUUUGAACGUUUCGGUGGUUGGGGAUCGACUCGCCGGUUAUCAGCUUGUUGGUGGGGUAUUGGCUUUCCAAGGCUUUGACGGGUAGCCGAACUGAGAGGGAGACCGGCAACACUGCGACUGACAUGCGACACAGACCCCUAGAGUAGCCAACAGUGGAAAAUAUUGCACAAUGGGCGGCAGCCUUAUGCAACACAGCAACGUCCGGAUAGAAAGCCUUCGAGUUGUAAUCAGAUUUCGCCUGUGACGAAACGUUAAUGACGGUAAUGGGUAAAGAAGCACCGGCUAACUACGAG